AUACGGAGGGUGCAAGCGUUAUCCGGAAUCACUGGGUUUAAAGGGUGCGUAGGCGGUUUGAUAAGUCAGAGGUGAAAGGCUACGGCUUAACUGUGGGAUUGCCUUUGAUACUGUUGGACUGGAAUUGAGUUGAAGUUAGUGGAAUGCGGCAUGUAGCGGUGAAAUGCAUAGAUAUGUCGUAGAACACCGAUUGCGAAGGCAGCUAACUGGGCUUAAAUUGACGCUGAGGCACGAAAGCGUGGGGAUCGAACAGGAUUAGAUACCCUGGUAGUCCACGCCCUAAACGAUGCUAACUCGAUGUGUGGCAGGAAUGUUGCGCGUCUAAGGGAAACCGUUAAGUUAGCCACCUGGGGAGUACGUUCGCAAGAAUGAA
This 373-nucleotide ribosomal RNA is filed under the name uncultured bacterium. RNAcentral describes it as "bacterial SSU rRNA". It matches the Rfam family "Bacterial small subunit ribosomal RNA", at positions 523 to 898 of the family's 1533-position model. The record is from RNAcentral.